UACAGGGGGGGGCAAGCGUUGUUCGGAAUUACUGGGCGUAAAGGGCUCGUAGGCGGCCUGCUAAGUCGGAUGUGAAAUCCCUCGGCUCAACCGAGGAACUGCAUCCGAUACUGGCGGGCUUGAAUCCGGGAGAGGGAUGUGGGAAUUCCAGGUGUAGCGGUGAAAUGCGUAGAUAUCUGGAGGAACACCGGUGGCGAAGGCGGCAUCCUGGACCGGUAUUGACGCUGAGGCGCGAAAGCUAGGGGAGCAAACGGG
This 255-nucleotide ribosomal RNA is filed under the name uncultured bacterium. RNAcentral's name for it is "partial 16S ribosomal RNA". It matches the Rfam family "Bacterial small subunit ribosomal RNA", at positions 524 to 776 of the family's 1533-position model. The record is from RNAcentral.